RNAcentral lists this long non-coding RNA (397 nucleotides) under Homo sapiens (human). Its description in RNAcentral is "HSALNT0050785". Lineage: Eukaryota; Metazoa; Chordata; Mammalia; Primates; Hominidae. The record is from RNAcentral.
CUGGGAAUGGCUGGCUUCAUCUCCAGGCCAAGGAGGGAUUGUGCUCCGAUGUUGGAGCCCUUUCUCCUCUGCACUUUUCUGAACUCCAUGAUUAGGUAGGUGGCCAUGGGAUGAUCAUAUAUUUUUUUAAUAUCACUUCCUCGAUAUGUUCUUCCUAGAAUCCCAUGGCCACUAUGAGCUGGGUUGUUGGGGGGCCUGGGUAGUCCAGGAGUGGCUCUCUGUAUGGCUUGAAUCAUGUCUUCUGGUCACUAUUGACCCAGGAGUUCCUCAACAGCUGGUCCAGUGGGAGCUGCUCCCUGGGGUUGAGUGUGAAGAAUUUUUAAAUAUUUUUUUCCAUAAAAUGAAUAAAAAAGUAGCAUACUAUUUUAAUUUUUUUUUUUUCAGUAUAUCCUUACAG